GAUGAACGCUGGCGGCGUGCCUAACACAUGCAAGUCGAACGGGCCGGAGGGAUUUGUUGGGCGGGGUGCUUCUGGGGGCGAGAGAUCGCUGAAGGGGGGCGGAACGUCCAGCGGGUUCAAUAUCUGGUCAGUGGCGGACGGGUGAGUAACACGUAGGUAAUCUGCCCCGAAGUGGGGAAUAACUACUCGAAAGGGUAGCUAAUACCGCAUAAUAUCUCAAGGCGACAGUUUUGAGAAGAAAGGGUGGAAGCCCGCUUUGGGAGGAGCCUGCGGCCGAUUAGCUAGUUGGUGAGGUAAAGGCUCACCAAGGCGAAGAUCGGUAGCUGGUCUGAGAGGACGAUCAGCCACACUGGAACUGAGAGACGGUCCAGACUCCUACGGGAGGCAGCAGUGAGGAAUAUUGCACAAGUAGGGGGAACCCAGAUGCAGCAACGCCGCGUGAGCGAAGAAGGCCUUCGGGUCGUAAGCUCGUUUUCCGGGGAGUGGAGAGGAGGACGAGUACCCGUGGGAAUAAGUCGUAC
Molecule: ribosomal RNA, 521 nt
Filed under: uncultured bacterium
Lineage: Bacteria
Description: bacterial SSU rRNA
Rfam family: Bacterial small subunit ribosomal RNA
Source: RNAcentral